UUGUACACACCGCCCGUCGCUACUACCGAUUGAAUGGCUUAGUGAGGCCCUCGGAUUGACCCCUGGUGGCUGUAAAAGGCUACAAAGGCUCGAGAAGUUGGUCAAACUUGGUCAUUUAGAGGAAGUAAAAGUCGUAACA
Molecule: ribosomal RNA, 139 nt
Filed under: Zoophagus insidians
Lineage: Eukaryota; Fungi; Zoopagomycota; Zoopagomycetes; Zoopagales; Zoopagaceae
Description: partial 18S ribosomal RNA
Rfam family: Eukaryotic small subunit ribosomal RNA
Source: RNAcentral